GGUCCUGUGGCCCAAUGGAUAAGGCGCCUGACUACGAAUCAAGAGAUUCCAGGUUCGAGUCCUGGCAGGAUCG
Molecule: non-coding RNA, 73 nt
Organism: Ciona savignyi (Pacific transparent sea squirt)
Lineage: Eukaryota; Metazoa; Chordata; Ascidiacea; Phlebobranchia; Cionidae
Source: Rfam